UUCCGGUUGAUCCUGCCAGAGGUCACUGCUAUCAGUGUUCGACUAAGCCAUGCAAGUCAAAUGUUCUUCGUGAACAUGGCGGACUGCUCAGUAACACGUGGAUAACCUGCCCUUAGGAUUGGCAUAACACCGGGAAACUGGUGAUAAUACCGAAUAGACCAUUUAUGCUGGAAUGCUUUUUGGUUCAAAGGCUUCGGCUGCCUAAGGAUGGAUCUGCGGCCUAUCAGGUAGUAGUGGGUGUAAUGUACCUACUAGCCUACGACGGGUACGGGUUGUGAGAGCAAGAGCCCGGAGAUGGAUUCUGAGACAUGAAUCCAGGCCCUACGGGGCGCAGCAGGCGCGAAAACUUUACAAUGCGGGAAACCGCGAUAAGGGGACACUGAGUGCCAGCAUAUUAUGUUGGCUGUCCACAUGUAUAAAAACCAUGUGUUAGCAAGGGCCGGGCAAGACCGGUGCCAGCCGCCGCGGUAACACCGGCGGCCCGAGUGGUGAUCACUUUUAUUGGGUCUAAAGGGUCCGUAGCCGGUUUGAUCAGUCCUCUGGGAAAUCUGACAGCUCAACUGUUAGGCUUCCAGGGGAUACUGUCAGACUUGGGACCGGGAGAGGUAAGAGGUACUACAGGGGUAGGAGUGAAAUCUUGUAAUCCCUGUGGGACCACCAGUGGCGAAGGCGUCUUACCAGAACGGGUCCGACGGUGAGGGACGAAAGCUAGGGGCACGAACCGGAUUAGAUACCCGGGUAGUCCUAGCCGUAAACGAUGUUCGCUAGGUGUCAGGGACGGUGCGACCGUUUCUGGUGCCGCAGGGAAGCCGUGAAGCGAACCACCUGGGAAGUACGGCCGCAAGGCUGAAACUUAAAGGAAUUGGCGGG
This 870-nucleotide ribosomal RNA is filed under the name uncultured archaeon. RNAcentral's name for it is "bacterial SSU rRNA". It matches the Rfam family "Archaeal small subunit ribosomal RNA", at positions 1 to 872 of the family's 1478-position model. The record is from RNAcentral.